Molecule: RNA transcript, 2109 nt
Organism: Andrographis paniculata
Lineage: Eukaryota; Viridiplantae; Streptophyta; Magnoliopsida; Lamiales; Acanthaceae
Exons: 5
Source: RefSeq, a predicted model, not a curated record
AUGCCACUCAUAAUAAUAUUUAUUUAUAUAUAAGAAAAAAUGAUUAUUGCAUUGCAUAUUGCAUAGAGUGUAUCGACAGUCGUCACCAAAAGCCACUGACACAAAAUCUCCCCAUUCACACUGCCCACCGCAUUCACUCUCCCUCUCUCUCUCUCUCGAUUCUUCUUCAUCGUCAUCGUUCUCUCUCUCUACCAUUACCAAACCGCCAUUUUCUUCAUCGUUCCUUCCGCCAUCGCCAAUGGACGCCGCUCCGUCGUCGUCGUCCUCCACUGGCCCCGUCCUCAGCGUCGUCGACAGGCGCCUCCGUGCUUUGCGCAAGAAGCUCAACCGCAUUGGCAGAACGGAGGAAUCCCUCGCCAGGGGGCAACCUCUCAACAAAGAGCAGGAGGCGCUCCUCAACUCCAAGCCGUCCCUUCUGGCUGCUGUAAAGGAGCUCGAGAAUCUCCGCCCCUCGCUGUCCCACGCUGUUGCCCGCGAAAUUGAACUUUCCUUCUCCAACUUGAAGCGGAGUGUCGACGCCGAAAGGGAAAGGGUGAAGGCGCGGGCUGCGGCGGUUUCAGAUCUUCUUACAAUACUGUAUUUGGGGAAAGUUUUUGACUUGACAGAGGGGCAGCAAUCCUUGAUGAUGAGGAUGCACGAGAGGAGCAGCUGCCUCUUACAUGAUUGCGUCACUGAUGGAGAAGACGAAAAAAAACUUUUAAGAGAGCUGGAUUUGGACCUGAUUAGUAGAAUGCAGGGCUUGAUCGUUUCCCGGCCAAGGGAUUCGAUCUUAUCUCACAAGCAUGCAUUGCAAAAAUGCUUGGAGCAUGCAAUGCGUUGGCUUGAUAGUUCCGACCAGCUCAUCGAGCCUAACGUCGAUGUAACUUAUACUCACUUGAGGGAGAAACUAAAGAGAAUUUUGGCAUCCGACUACUUCUUAGCAACUCCCAAGAGAAGGAUUCCCAUUGAAGUAGAUGCAACUAUUGCCAAUUAUAAUAAUGUUUUCCAGAUUCAAUUGGAGGACUCAUCAAGUACUAGAGUUGCAUUGAAUGAACAAACUCAAGGCUCAGAUGCAGAGGUUGAUCAAGAGGAGGAAAAAUCAUCAUAUUCUGAUGUCAAAAAGAUGGUUGUUGUAUCGGAUUUCCCCUCAAUUGGUUUUUCCUUCACUAGCCCCGUCCUCAGCGUGGUCGACAAGUGCCUCCAUGCUUUGCGCAAGAAACUCAACCACAUUGGCUCAACAAAGAGCAGGAGACACUCUUUAACUCAAACCAGUCCAUUCUGGCUGCUAUAAAAGAGUUGGAUAAUGCGCGCCCCUCGCUGUCCAAGCUGUUGGUGGGGAAAUUGAACUUUCCUUUUGAAGUUCAAGAAGCUUGAGAGCCUUGAGCAGAUAAAGGGAAAGGGAAAAGGCACGUGUGGUGGCUGUUUCCAAUCUUCUUAGCCUAUUGUACUUGGGGAAAGUUUUUGACGUGAAGGAUUUGAUGAGGGGGCAGCAAUCUUUGAUGAUUAGGAUGCACAAGAGGAGCAACUGCCUCUUACAUAAUUCUUUCAUUGAGGCGCGGUGUUGAUUUUGGAGAUCUUUUAAAGGAGUUGGAUUUUGACCUAAUUAGUGUACCGUUGAAUUUGUUUGUUCCUUGAAUUGGGGACUCGUUGAUGUCUCAUGAUCAUGCUUUGCGGAUAUGCUUUGAGUAGAGAAUGCAAUGGCUAGAUACUUCCAACUAGCCUAUUGAACCUAGCCUCAAUGUUACUUUUUUACUUGUAGGAGGAAAAAUCACCACAUUCCGAUGCCAACAAGAUGCAUGGUUAUGACUUAUGAAUCUUCCUACCACACUACAAAUAUUUGUCAGGAUGGUUUAUAUAUAUAUAUAUCAGACCACAUGAUCCAUUCUCAGCAGAGGAUACCUAAUGGUAAAAAGAUAUAUCAAAAUUCAAAGAAACUUGAGAAUGAUUUUGCUCGAAGGAUUUGGUGCAGUCAAUUUUGUUGCCCAAAGUGGGGAAGGUUGGUUAAGCAACCUCAAUCAUAUAUAAGUGUGUUUGGGAGCUUGUUGUGGCAAUCUUUUUAAGAUCAUCCCUGUGAAGUUUUGUAUCUUAUGUUAUAUGCAAUUCUUGUAAUCCUUUUUACUUGAACUCUUA